UACGUAGGGGGCAAGCGUUGUCCGGAUUUAUUGGGCGUAAAGAGCUCGUAGGCGGCUCGGUAAGUCGGCUGUGAAACCUCCAGGCUCAACCUGGAGACGCCAUCUGAUACUGCCGUGGCUUGAGUCCGGUAGAGGAGCAGGGAAUUCCUGGUGUAGCGGUGAAAUGCGCAGAUAUCAGGAGGAACACCAGCGGCGAAGGCGCUGCUCUGGGCCGGUACUGACGCUGAGGAGCGAAAGCGUGGGGAGCGAACAGG
This 254-nucleotide ribosomal RNA is filed under the name uncultured bacterium. Its description in RNAcentral is "partial 16S ribosomal RNA". It matches the Rfam family "Bacterial small subunit ribosomal RNA", at positions 524 to 776 of the family's 1533-position model. The record is from RNAcentral.